GGUCCCGCCUGCCCUGUGACUAUGGGUUUAACGGCCGCGGUAUUUUGACCGUGCAAAGGUAGCGCAAUCACUUGUCUUUUAAAUGGAGACCUGUAUGAAUGGCACGACGAGGGCCCAACUGUCUCCUCUCCCCAGUCAGUGAAAUUGAUCUUCCCGUGCAGAAGCGGGAUUACCCCCAUAAGACGAGAAGACCCCAUGGAGCUUUAGACACUAGGCAGCCCACAUUAAACAAACCUGUACAACCAGGGAGAAUUUAGUGGCCCCUCCCCUACUUGUCUUUGGUUGGGGCGACCACGGAGGAAAAAAUAGCCUCCCUGAGGACUGGGGGUACUACCCCUACAGCCAAGAACCACUGUUCUAAGCAACAGAACAUCUGACCACCACGAUCCGGCGCACGCCGAUCAACGGACCGAGUUACCCUGGGGAUAACAGCGCAAUCCUCUCCCAGAGUCCCUAUCGACGAGGGGGUUUACGACCUCGAUGUUGGAUCAGGACAUCCUAAUGGUGCAGCCGCUAUUAAGGGUUCGUUUGUUCAACGAUUAAAGUCCUACGUGAUC
Molecule: ribosomal RNA, 557 nt
Filed under: Stomias atriventer
Lineage: Eukaryota; Metazoa; Chordata; Actinopteri; Stomiiformes; Stomiidae
Description: partial 16S ribosomal RNA
Rfam family: Bacterial large subunit ribosomal RNA
Source: RNAcentral